AGCCUUCACUCGGUUGGAGCCUGAGGCGCCGAGAGGAUGGGAGUCCCAGGCUCCCGCCUUGGCAUCCGUCGUCGUCUCAGGAGGAGGAAGAAGGCAAGGAAGCCAGGGUGAGACUUUGCUUGAGUCAAGCCAUAUACAAGAUCAGCAGGCUACAAUGCGAAGGAGAAAACAACCAGCCAGGUGACUCAUGGACCACAAAUGCAAGGAAAAGAGGAAGAAGGUGCUUCUGGUUGGCCUCCAUUUGCAACUGAAAGGCUGCUGCCAAUUACUCAGAUGUCCUAAUGCAGAUUAGCAAUGGAGAACAGAGAAGAAAGAUACCACAGAUCCCAGACGAACACUGCGCUACAUGGACAGCUGUUCAU
Molecule: long non-coding RNA, 362 nt
Organism: Sceloporus undulatus (fence lizard)
Lineage: Eukaryota; Metazoa; Chordata; Lepidosauria; Squamata; Phrynosomatidae
Exons: 3
Source: RefSeq, a predicted model, not a curated record